CCUACGGGCGGCAGCAGUGGGGAAUAUUGCGCAAUGGGCGAAAGCCUGACGCAGCGACGCCGCGUGAGGGAUGAAGGUCUUCGGAUCGUAAACCUCUGUCAGCAGGGAAGAACGGUCACUGUGCUAAUCAGCAGUGAAUUGACGGUACCUGCAAAGGAAGCACCGGCUAACUCCGUGCCAGCAGCCGCGGUAAUACGGAGGGUGCGAGCGUUAAUCGGAAUUACUGGGCGUAAAGCGCUCGUAGGCGGUAUGUCAAGUCAAGGGUGAAAUCCCCGCGCUCAACGUGGGAACUGCCUUUGAAACUGGCAGACUGGAGUGUGUGAGAGGAUAGUGGAAUUCGAGGUGUAGGAGUGAAAUCCGUAGAUAUCUGGAGGAACAUCAGUGGCGAAGGCGACUAUCUGGCACAUAACUGACGCUGAGGAGCGAAAGCGUGGGUAGCAAACAGGAUUAGAUACCCUAGUAGUC
This 465-nucleotide ribosomal RNA is filed under the name uncultured bacterium. Its description in RNAcentral is "partial 16S ribosomal RNA". It matches the Rfam family "Bacterial small subunit ribosomal RNA", at positions 338 to 795 of the family's 1533-position model. The record is from RNAcentral.